CAAUUGGAGGGCAAGUCUGGUGCCAGCAGCCGCGGUAAUUCCAGCUCCAAUAGCGUAUAUUAAAGUUGUUGCAGUUAAGAAGCUCGUAGUUGAAUUUCUGCCUUAUCAUUAAUUUCGCUUCCGAACGUAAUUUUAUUGAUUUGGCAUCUUCUGGAUUAUAUAUUAUUUUUAAUAUAUUUUUCCAGUAUUUUACUUUGAGAAAACUAGAGUGUUUCAAACAGGCUUUUGCCUUGAAUACUACAGCAUGGAAUAAUGAAGUAGGACUAUUGGUUCUAUUUUGUUGGUUAUCGAACCAUAGUAAUGGUUAAUAGGAGCAGUUGGGGGCAUUCGUAUUUAACUGUCAGAGGUGAAAUUCUUAGAUUUGUUAAAGACGAACUACUGCGAAAGCAUUUGCCAAGGAUGUUUUCAUUAAUCAAGAACGAAAGUUAGGGGAUCGAAGACGAUCAGAUACCGU
This 454-nucleotide ribosomal RNA is filed under the name Babesia annae. RNAcentral's name for it is "SSU rRNA". It matches the Rfam family "Eukaryotic small subunit ribosomal RNA", at positions 545 to 1018 of the family's 1831-position model. The record is from RNAcentral. Lineage: Eukaryota; Apicomplexa; Aconoidasida; Piroplasmida; Babesiidae.